This 465-nucleotide ribosomal RNA is filed under the name uncultured bacterium. RNAcentral's name for it is "partial 16S ribosomal RNA". It matches the Rfam family "Bacterial small subunit ribosomal RNA", at positions 338 to 795 of the family's 1533-position model. The record is from RNAcentral.
CCUACGGGAGGCAGCAGUGGGGAAUAUUGCGCAAUGGGCGAAAGCCUGACGCAGCGACGCCGCGUGAGGGAUGAAGGUCUUCGGAUCGUAAACCUCUGUCAGCAGGGAAGAACGGUCACUGUGCUAAUCAGCCGUGAAUUGACGGUACCUGCAAAGGAAGCACCGGCUAACUCCGUACCAGCAUCCGCGGUCAUACGGAGGGUGCGAGCGUUAAUCGGAAUGACUGGGCGUAAAGCGCUCGUAGGCGGUCGGUCAAGUCAAGGGUGAAAUCCCCGCGCUCAACGUGGGCACUGCCUUUGAAACUGGCAAACUGGAGUGUGGGAGAGGAUAGUGGAAUUCCAGGUGUAGGAGUGAAAUCCGUAGAGAUCUGGAGGAACAUCAGUGGCGAAGGCGACUAUCUGGCACAUAACUGACGCUGAGGAGCGAAAGCGUGGGUAGCAAACAGGAUUAGAUACCCCAGUAGUC